GCCAGACUCCUACGGGAGGCAGCAGUGAGGAAUAUUGGUCAAUGGUCGGGAGACUGAACCAGCCAAGCCGCGUGAGGGAUGAAGGUACAGAGUAUCGUAAACCUCUUUUGUCAGGGAACAAAGGCGGGGACUAGUCCCCGGAUGAGGGUACCUGAAGAAAAAGCAUCGGCUAACUCCGUGCCAGCAGCCGCGGUAAUACGUAGGGGGCGAGCGUUAUCCGGAUUUACUGGGUGUAAAGGGAGCGUAGACGGUUUUUCAAGUCUGAAGUGAAAGCCCGCGGCUCAACUGCGGAACGGCUUUGGAAACUGAGGGACUAGAGUGCUGGAGGGGCAGGCGGAAUUCCUGGUGUAGCGGUGAAAUGCGUAGAUAUCAGGAGGAACACCGGUGGCGAAGGCGGCCUGCUGGACAGUAACUGACGUUGAGGCUCGAAAGCGUGGGGAGCAAACAGGAUUAGAUACCCGUGUAC
RNAcentral lists this ribosomal RNA (466 nucleotides) under uncultured bacterium. RNAcentral describes it as "bacterial SSU rRNA". It matches the Rfam family "Bacterial small subunit ribosomal RNA", at positions 330 to 793 of the family's 1533-position model. The record is from RNAcentral.